Molecule: transfer RNA, 63 nt
Filed under: Agrilus sichuanus
Lineage: Eukaryota; Metazoa; Arthropoda; Insecta; Coleoptera; Buprestidae
Description: tRNA-Thr
Source: RNAcentral
GCUUUAAUAAUUUAAAAUAAAAUAUUGAUUUUGUAAAUCAAACAUAAGGAAACUUUUAAAGCU